AGUGAACGCUGGCGGUAGGCCUAACACAUGCAAGUCGAACGGCAGCACAGAGGAGCUUGCUCCUUGGGUGGCGAGUGGCGGACGGGUGAGGAAUACAUCGGAAUCUACUCUGUCGUGGGGGAUAACGUAGGGAAACUUACGCUAAUACCGCAUACGACCUACGGGUGAAAGCAGGGGGCCUUCGGGCCUUGCGCGAUUGAAUGAGCCGAUGUCGGAUUAGCUAGUUGGCGGGGUAAAGGCCCACCAAGGCGACGAUCCGUAGCUGGUCUGAGAGGAUGAUCAGCCACACUGGGACUGAGACAAGGUCCAGACUCGUAGGGGAGGCAGCAGUGGGGAAUAUUGGACAAUGGGCGCAAGCCUGAUCCAGCCAUACCGCGUGGGUGAAGAAGGCCUUCGGGUUGUAAAGCCCUUUUGUUGGGAAAGAAAUCCAGCUGGCUAAUACCCGGUUGGGAUGACGGUACCCAAAGAAUAAGCACCGGCUAACUUCGUGCCAGCCGCCGCCGUAA
Molecule: ribosomal RNA, 506 nt
Filed under: uncultured bacterium
Lineage: Bacteria
Description: partial 16S ribosomal RNA
Rfam family: Bacterial small subunit ribosomal RNA
Source: RNAcentral